Molecule: ribosomal RNA, 292 nt
Filed under: uncultured bacterium
Lineage: Bacteria
Description: partial 16S ribosomal RNA
Source: RNAcentral
GGACUACCGGGGUAUCUAAUCCCGUUCGCUCCCCUGGCUUUCGCCCCUGAGCGUCAGGUACCAUCCAGGACAGUGCCUUCGCCUUUGGUGUUCCUCCGAAUAUCUACGCAUUUCACCACUCCACUCGGAAUUCCCUGUCCCUCUCUGGUCCUCAAGUCGUGCCGUUUUUGAAACGCUUGAUCGGGUAAGCCGACCCCUGUCAUCCCAAACGUUCACGACCGCCUGCGGGCGCUUUACGCCCAGUAACUUCGGACAACGCUUGCCCCCUACGUAUUACCGCGGCUGCUGGCAC